This 329-nucleotide unclassified non-coding RNA is filed under the name soil metagenome. RNAcentral's name for it is "partial contains 5.8S ribosomal RNA, internal transcribed spacer 2, and large subunit ribosomal RNA". The stretch from base 1 to 120 matches the Rfam family "5.8S ribosomal RNA", at positions 35 to 154 of the family's 154-position model. The record is from RNAcentral.
GAUGAAGAACGCAGCGAAAUGCGAUACGUAAUGUGAAUUGCAGAAUUCAGUGAAUCAUCGAAUCUUUGAACGCACAUUGCGCCCUCUGGUAUUCCGGAGGGCAUGCCUGUUCGAGCGUCAUUAUAACCACUCAAGCUCUCGCUUGGUAUUGGGGUUCGCGGUUCCGCGGCCCCUAAAAUCAGUGGCGGUGCCUGUCGGCUCUACGCGUAGUAAUACUCCUCGCGAUUGAGUCCGGUAGGUCUACUUGCCAGCAACCCCCAAUUUUUACAGGUUGACCUCGGAUCAGGUAGGGAUACCCGCUGAACUUAAGCAUAUCAAUAAGCGGAGGA